UACGGAGGGUGCAAGCGUUGUUCGGAAUCACUGGGCGUAAAGCGCGUGUAGGCGGCCUCCUAAGUCUGAUGUGAAAGCCCGGGGCUUACCCCCGGAAGUGCAUUGGAGACUGAGAGGCUUGAGUACCGGAGAGGAGGGUGGAAUUCCUGGUGUAGCGGUGAAAUGCGUAGAUAUCAGGAGGAACACCGGUGGCGAAGGCGGCCCUCUGGACGGAUACUGACGCUAAGGCGCGAAAGCGUGGGGAGCGAACAGG
Molecule: ribosomal RNA, 253 nt
Filed under: uncultured bacterium
Lineage: Bacteria
Description: partial 16S ribosomal RNA
Rfam family: Bacterial small subunit ribosomal RNA
Source: RNAcentral